RNAcentral lists this unclassified non-coding RNA (367 nucleotides) under soil metagenome. RNAcentral's name for it is "partial contains 5.8S ribosomal RNA, internal transcribed spacer 2, and large subunit ribosomal RNA". The stretch from base 1 to 120 matches the Rfam family "5.8S ribosomal RNA", at positions 35 to 154 of the family's 154-position model. The record is from RNAcentral.
GAUGAAGAACGUAGCGAAAUGCGAUAAGUAAUGUGAAUUGCAGAAUUCAGUGAAUCAUCGAAUCUUUGAACGCAUCUUGCGCUCCUUGGUAUUCUGAGGAGCAUGCCUGUUUGAGUGUCAUUAAAUUCUCAACUACACUGACUUUGAAUUGGUGUGGCUUGGAUUUGGGGGGAAAAUUGUUGUGGGCUUUUUGUAUAGUCUGCUCCCCUGAAAUUGAUUAGCGGUACCUUUGUGGAACUGUCUACAGGUGUGAUAAUUAUCUACAUCUGCUGGAAUGCUGCUUUCUAAACCUUACUUGUAUUGACAAUCUUGACCUCAAAUCAGGUAGGACUACCCGAUGAACUUAAGCAUAUCAAUAAGCGGAGGA